GAACAGAACCAAGGUGAACCACAAUUGGGCAGCAGAUGAAGUAGUGGAGAUACAGGCACCUUUUAAAAAUCUGGACCUCCCUGUCAGGUCACAUAAGAAGACAAACCCCAGCCUUGUGAAUGCUGAGAAAGUGCAAAAACAACAACCUGUUGAACAGUUCUACCUCCCCAUCGAGUCAGAUGAGGAGGACAUUGUAGGCCCUGUAAAUUAAAAAGAGUUGGAGACACAGGG
Molecule: long non-coding RNA, 231 nt
Organism: Xenopus laevis (African clawed frog)
Lineage: Eukaryota; Metazoa; Chordata; Amphibia; Anura; Pipidae
Exons: 3
Source: RefSeq, a predicted model, not a curated record